GACGAACGCUGGCGGCGUGCUUAACACAUGCAAGUCGAACGGUGAAGCGCCUUCCUUUUUGGUGGGUGUGGAUGAGUGGCGAACGGGUGAGUAACACGUGAGUAACCUGCCCCCUUCUUCUGGAUAACCGCAUGAAAGUGUGGCUAAUACGGGAUAUUCUGGGUCUGUCGCAUGAUGGGUCUGGGAAAGAUAUUGUUUCGGUGGGGGAUGGGCUCGCGGCCUAUCAGCUUGUUGGUGGGGUGAUGGCCUACCAAGGCGGUGACGGGUAGCCGGCCUGAGAGGGGGGCGGGUAACGUGGGGGAGGGGCCACGGGCCGAGCUCGUAGGGGAGGGAGGGGGGGGGAAUAUUGAGAAGGGGGGGAAAGCCUGAGGCGGCGGACCCGGGGGGGGGAAGGGGGCUUUGGGGUGUGGAGCCUUUUUGGCUGGUAAAGGGGGCCGGCCUGGUUUGAGGGGGGGUUGAGGGUAGGGGGAAAAGAAGCCGCGGCAAACUAGGG
RNAcentral lists this ribosomal RNA (493 nucleotides) under uncultured bacterium. RNAcentral describes it as "partial 16S ribosomal RNA". The stretch from base 18 to 376 matches the Rfam family "Bacterial small subunit ribosomal RNA", at positions 45 to 393 of the family's 1533-position model. The record is from RNAcentral.